This 253-nucleotide ribosomal RNA is filed under the name uncultured bacterium. Its description in RNAcentral is "partial 16S ribosomal RNA". It matches the Rfam family "Bacterial small subunit ribosomal RNA", at positions 524 to 776 of the family's 1533-position model. The record is from RNAcentral.
UACGUAGGGCGCAAGCGUUAUCCGGAAUUAUUGGGCGUAAAGAGCUCGUAGGCGGUUUGUCGCGUCUGCCGUGAAAGUCCAGGGCUCAACUCCGGAUCUGCGGUGGGUACGGGCAGACUAGAGUGAUGUAGGGGAGACUGGAAUUCCUGGUGUAGCGGUGAAAUGCGCAGAUAUCAGGAGGAACACCGAUGGCGAAGGCGGUUAGCUGGGCAGUUGCUGACACUGAGGCGCGACAGCGUGGGGAGCAAACAGG